AAACCUGCUAUCUGUGUGGGUCUCUAUUCCAGCUUCACAUUUACACUGUCAGGAGACAUUCAGAUCUGGGGAAGAACACACGUGCCCUUUCCCAGUGGAUGCAGGGAGAAAAGUUCCUCCUAUCGCUUUGUGUUUAAUGUUAUGAAUCUGACUUCCUUGUCAACAUCAAGAUUCAUGACAGCAAACAGAGAGCUCAUGAAGCCUGCAUUUCUGUGAGUUGGGAAUAGAUUAGAGUAUUUAGACAGCUUUCAUGUCCAGUCCCUGCCAGUCUUGCUGGACAUAAAAGAAACUUCAGAAAAUUCUCCAGAUCUACUACAGACCCCGAGUGAGAUCCAGGGAGGAGAAGCAUUACUUGCUGAAGGGAGGAAGCUGGUGGAGUAGCAGAGAGAAACUAAAGCCCUUCAGGAGCCGAAUGAGCAUGUAUAUUCAGGAGCCGAUGUCCAGGACCAAGGUGAACUGGGGUUGAAGACAUGCUCUGAACCGCAGGGUCUGUGUCUGUCCCCUUGUUUGCACAAAUGCAAACCGAGGCUUGAAGGGAACAGAAAAGAGGUGAAGUGCCUGCCAAUAAUAAGCCUAUGCUUCAGUGGAGAAGGCAAAUCAGUAAGAAAUUAUGGAAGGGACUGAGGAAUCACUUACAAAUGCGAAUGCUUUUUACAAGAAAGAAAAUGUUCACCGUAAAAGAAUCGGCACUAAUCUACAAUUGUCAUAGAAUGGAAAAUAUAAUUUUGCAGGAUUAUAGAAUUUAAAGAUUUUUGGUUCUGCUCUGAUUUGGAUCACUGCAUAACAACUUCAAGAACUUGAGAGUUGGAGAAACCAUGCACACAAAAAAAACAUUAGAAUGAUUUUGGAUUAAACUCACCAGCUUCAGAAACGCCUAAUUAAAACUGAUACUAGAAUUAAAUAUUAGAAAGAUGGAAACAAUCUCUAUUCCUUCCUCAGAGAGUUAUAAUUUUGUUCAGAGAAGCAAACUGCCCAACCCUGGUGAUGCAUAAGAUAUUCAUGGAAAUUAGGGGUGACCGUGUGACCUGUUUAGCCAAUGAGAUCUGAACAGACCUUUGCUGAGAAAGAUGGAAUGGCUGGAUCUACACCAGAUAUCUUGUGACCAUGAGACAAACAUGAAGAUGAAAAUCAACACCCUGAGAUACCUAAUCAGAAAGGAGGAAAGAUCCUAACUGCAAAUAAACCAACAUUACCAACAAUAAAACUGGAUAUUUUUUCAUGCAAGAAAAA
Sus scrofa (pig) is the source of this 1230-nucleotide long non-coding RNA. RefSeq lists it as uncharacterized. NCBI's taxonomy places the organism in Eukaryota, Metazoa, Chordata, Mammalia, Artiodactyla, Suidae. The record is from RefSeq and is a predicted model, not a curated record.